GACGAACGCUGGCGGCGUGCUUAACACAUGCAAGUCGAACGGAAAGGCCCUGCUUUUGUGGGGUGCUCGAGUGGCGAACGGGUGAGUAACACGUGAGUAACCUGCCCUUGACUUUGGGAUAACUUCAGGAAACUGGGGCUAAUACCGGAUAGGAGCUCCUGCUGCAUGGUGGGGGUUGGAAAGUUUCGGCGGUUGGGGAUGGACUCGCGGCUUAUCAGCUUGUUGGUGGGGUAGUGGCUUACCAAGGCUUUGACGGGUAGCCGGCCUGAGAGGGUGACCGGCGACAUUGGGCCUGCGAUACGGCCCAGACUCCUACGGGAGGCAGCAGUGGGAAAUAUUGCACAAUGGGCGGAAGCCUGAUGCGGCAGCGCCGCGUGCGGAAUGACGGCCUUCGGGUAGUAAACCGCUUUCGCCUGUGACGAAGCGUGAGUGACGGUAAUGGAUAAAGAAGCACCGGCUAACUACGUG
Molecule: ribosomal RNA, 468 nt
Filed under: uncultured bacterium
Lineage: Bacteria
Description: partial 16S ribosomal RNA
Rfam family: Bacterial small subunit ribosomal RNA
Source: RNAcentral